GCAUCCAUGGCUGAAUGGCUAAAGCACCCAACUCAUAAUUGGCGAAUUCGUGGGUUCAAUUCCUACUGGAUGCA
RNAcentral lists this transfer RNA (74 nucleotides) under Passiflora contracta. Its description in RNAcentral is "tRNA-Met". It matches the Rfam family "tRNA". Rfam says of the family: Transfer RNA (tRNA) molecules are approximately 80 nucleotides in length. Their secondary structure includes four short double-helical elements and three loops (D, anti-codon, and T loops). The record is from RNAcentral. Lineage: Eukaryota; Viridiplantae; Streptophyta; Magnoliopsida; Malpighiales; Passifloraceae.